UCCCAGACUCCUACGGGAGGCAGCAGUGGGGAAUAUUGCACAAUGGGGGAAACCCUGAUGCAGCGACGCCGCGUGAGCGAUGAAGUAUUUCGGUAUGUAAAGCUCUAUCAGCAGGGAAGAAGAUGACGGUACCUGACUAAGAAGCCCCGGCUAACUACGUGCCAGCAGCCGCGGUAAUACGUAGGGGGCAAGCGUUAUCCGGAUUUACUGGGUGUAAAGGGAGCGUAGACGGCAGUGCAAGUCUGGAGUGAAAGGCGGGGGCUCAACCCCCGGACUGCUCUGGAAACUGUACGGCUGGAGUGCAGGAGGGGCAGGCGGAAUUCCUGGUGUAGCGGUGAAAUGCGUAGAUAUCAGGAGGAACACCGGUGGCGAAGGCGGCCUGCUGGACUGCAACUGACGUUGAGGCCCGAAAGCGUGGGGAGCAAACAGGAUUAGAUACCCCUGUA
This 446-nucleotide ribosomal RNA is filed under the name uncultured bacterium. RNAcentral describes it as "bacterial SSU rRNA". It matches the Rfam family "Bacterial small subunit ribosomal RNA", at positions 329 to 792 of the family's 1533-position model. The record is from RNAcentral.